This 468-nucleotide ribosomal RNA is filed under the name uncultured bacterium. RNAcentral describes it as "SSU rRNA". It matches the Rfam family "Bacterial small subunit ribosomal RNA", at positions 26 to 518 of the family's 1533-position model. The record is from RNAcentral.
AGGACGAACGCUGGCGGCGUGCCUAACACAUGCAAGUCGAACGGGGGUAGCAAUACCCUAGUGGCGAACGGGUGCGUAACACGUGAAGAACUUGUCCAUCGGCGGGGGAUAGCCGGCCCAACGGCCGGGUAAUACCGCGUACGCUUGUCGAGUGGCAUCACUUGACAAGGAAAGCAGCAAUGCACCGAUGGAGAGCUUCGCGGCCUAUCAGCUUGUUGGCGGGGUAAUGGCCCACCAAGGCAACGACGGGUAGCUGGUCUGAGAGGAUGAUCAGCCACAUUGGGACUGAGACACGGCCCAGACUCCUACGGGAGGCAGCAGUGGGGAAUCUUCCGCAAUGGGGGCAACCCUGACGGAGCAACGCCGCGUGCAGGAGGACGCUUUUCGGAGUGUAAACUGCUUUUCUCGAGGAAGAAACCGGACGGUACUCGAGGAAGAAGCCCCGGCUAACUACGUGCCAGCAGCCGC